Long non-coding RNA from Octopus sinensis (East Asian common octopus), 259 nucleotides. RefSeq lists it as uncharacterized. NCBI's taxonomy places the organism in Eukaryota, Metazoa, Mollusca, Cephalopoda, Octopoda, Octopodidae. The transcript is spliced from 3 exons. The record is from RefSeq and is a predicted model, not a curated record.
UGAUUUCCAAUUUUUUAAAAUUUUUAUUUAGCUUUGUCUAAAUAAUAAUAAUAAUAAUGAUGAUAAUAAUAAUAAUAAUGAUAAUUGCUCUUGUAUAUUUUAAUUUUUCUUUUUUUGUUUUGUCGUUUCCCAGCCUAUCUUUUGUUGGCACCGUCUCUUUUUGGUCUCUGAAUCUUGCUAAAGUUUAAAUGUGACACUGUACAUUGUGUGUGUGUGUGUGUGUGUGUGUGUGUGUGUGUGUGUGUGUGUGUGUGUGUUG